This 1216-nucleotide long non-coding RNA is filed under the name Salmo salar (Atlantic salmon). RNAcentral describes it as "lncRNA (ENSSSAG00000092610.1)". Lineage: Eukaryota; Metazoa; Chordata; Actinopteri; Salmoniformes; Salmonidae. The record is from RNAcentral.
GCCAAUCAGGACCGAUGCUCACAGUGACAACACUCACGCUGAGGAUAUUGUGGGUUAGAAGAGGAGCAUGGGUAAAAUAGAGGAGAGCAGGAGAAGUAAGAGAUGAGAUGAGAGGAGAGGGGAGAGGAGGAGGAGGAGGAGGAAGAGGAGAGGAGGAGGAGGAGGAGGAGGAGAGGAAUGAGAGGAGUACAAGGAAGCGGAAAACGGACGCACGUCACGAGCUGAUGGUGACAAACCGGUGCAAUCUCACAUUAACACCUCAACAAUCAAAGAUCUUUGAGUUGAUCAAAUUAUUGUGCACUCUAGCCUACAGUUUGUUUAGAGGAUUUACAGUUUGUUUAGAGGUUUACAGUCUGUUUAGAGGUUUACAGUUUAUUUAGAGGUUUACAGUUUGUUUAGAGGUUUACAGUUUGUUUAGAGGAUUACAGUUUGUUUAGAGGAUUUACAGUUUGUUUAGAGGAUAACAGUUUUAGAGGAUUUACAGUUUGUUUAGAGGAUUACAGUUUGUUUAGAGGAUUACAGUUUGUUUAGAGGAUUUACAGUUUGUUUAGAGGUUUACAGUUUGUUUACAGUUUGUUUAGAGGAUUACAGUUUGUUUAGAGGAUUUACAUUUGUUUAGAGGUUUACAGUUUGUUUAGAGGUUUACAGUUUGUUUACAGUUUGUUUAGAGGUUUACAGUUUGUUUACAGUUUGUUUAGAGGAUUUACAGUUUGUUUAGAGGAUUUACAGUUUGUUUAGAGGUUUACAGUCUGUUUAGAGGAUUUACAGUUUGUUUACAGUUUGUUUAGAGGUUUACAGUCUGUUUAGAGGGUUUACAGUUUGUUUAGAGGGUUACAGUUUGUUUAGAGGUUUACAGUUUGACAGCGCCACUUUUUCUACAGACAAACAUUAGUCACAGGAUUGCAAAGGGAAGGUCAGAUGCAGAUAAGGGGUCUAUGAGAGGGGGUCUAUGAGAGGGGGUCUAUGAGAGGGGGUCUAUGAGAGGGAGCGGGGGGCAGGACAUGGGUGGGGCUGAUAGAGCACACAGAAGUAAGCAGCCAAAGCAAGCAGCCAAUCAUUACUCUGGGCCACAGGAAACGGAGCGGACAGGGUUGUCGUGACAACGGGAGGUCAUACCGUAUCCAGUACAUGGCCGGGUGCUGGUAGAAGUCCAACGACCCAGAGCGCUGCAAACAGAAGCUGUGCUCCAACUGGACAACAGGACACAGAAACCAGG